GUGCCAGCAGCCGCGGUAAUACAGAGGGUGCGAGCGUUGUCCGGAAUCACUGGGCGUAAAGGGCGUGUAGGUGGCUUGGUAAGCCGCGUGUGAAAUCCCGGGGCUCAACCCCGGAACGGCACGCGGGACUGUCAGGCUAGAGCAUGGUAGAGGCGAGUGGAAUUCCUGGUGUAGCGGUGGAAUGCGUAGAGAUCAGGAAGAACACCGGUGGCGAAGGCGGCUCGCUGGGCCAUUGCUGACACUGAGGCGCGAAAGCGUGGGGAGCAAACAGGAUUAGAAACCCCGGUAGUCC
RNAcentral lists this ribosomal RNA (292 nucleotides) under uncultured bacterium. RNAcentral's name for it is "partial 16S ribosomal RNA". It matches the Rfam family "Bacterial small subunit ribosomal RNA", at positions 505 to 796 of the family's 1533-position model. The record is from RNAcentral.